This 576-nucleotide ribosomal RNA is filed under the name uncultured bacterium. Its description in RNAcentral is "bacterial SSU rRNA". It matches the Rfam family "Bacterial small subunit ribosomal RNA", at positions 15 to 589 of the family's 1533-position model. The record is from RNAcentral.
GAUCCUGGCUCAAGACGAACGCUGGCGGCGUGCUUAACACAUGCAAGUCGAACGGAGUACCCUCGAAAGAGAUUUCGGUCAAUGGAGAGGACUACUUAGUGGCGGACGGGUGAGUAACGCGUGAGGAACCUGCCUUUCAGAGGGGGACAACAGUUGGAAACGACUGCUAAUACCGCAUAACGUACGGGUAUCGCAUGGUACUGGUACCAAAGAUUUAUCGCUGAGAGAUGGCCUCGCGUCUGAUUAGCUAGUUGGUAGGGUAACGGCCUACCAAGGCGACGAUCAGUAGCCGGACUGAGAGGUUGGCCGGCCACAUUGGGACUGAGAUACGGCCCAGACUCCUACGGGAGGCAGCAGUGGGGAAUAUUGGGCAAUGGGCGCAAGCCUGACCCAGCAACGCCGCGUGAAGGAAGAAGGCUUUCGGGUUGUAAACUUCUUUUGACAGGGAAGAGCAGAAGACGGUACCUGUCGAAUAAGCCACGGCUAACUACGUGCCAGCAGCCGCGGUAAUACGUAGGUGGCAAGCGUUGUCCGGAUUUACUGGGUGUAAAGGGCGUGUAGCCGGGCUGACAAGUC